RNAcentral lists this transfer RNA (77 nucleotides) under Blattabacterium sp. (Mastotermes darwiniensis) str. MADAR. RNAcentral describes it as "tRNA-Asp". It matches the Rfam family "tRNA". Rfam says of the family: Transfer RNA (tRNA) molecules are approximately 80 nucleotides in length. Their secondary structure includes four short double-helical elements and three loops (D, anti-codon, and T loops). Further hydrogen bonds mediate the characteristic L-shaped molecular structure. tRNAs have two regions of fundamental functional importance: the anti-codon, which is responsible for specific mRNA codon recognition, and the 3' end, to which the tRNAs corresponding amino acid is attached (by aminoacyl-tRNA synthetases). tRNAs cope with the degeneracy of the genetic code in two manners: having more than one tRNA (with a specific anti-codon) for a particular amino acid; and 'wobble' base-pairing, i.e. permitting non-standard base-pairing at the 3rd anti-codon position. Lineage: Bacteria; Pseudomonadati; Bacteroidota; Flavobacteriia; Flavobacteriales; Blattabacteriaceae. The record is from RNAcentral.
GGUCUGGUAGUUCAGUUGGUUAGAAUACAUGCCUGUCACGCAUGAGGUCGCGGGUUCGAGUCCCGUCCAGACCGCAA